GCCUGGACCAUCAAUUCAAUGGCAAUAGCACAUAGGUUUUUAAUGCUUUCUAGCCAUGAAUGUUGUUCUUCUCGAUCUUCCAUGUGGUCUUGAUGAUUCCAAUGUAUGGGGUAUCUAGAUGGAUAUCUAGAAUCAUCAGGUGGUUUUGGAGAAAGAGCAUAGAACAAGCCAUAGUGGUCAAGGAUGGGUUUAGAUAUGGGUUCGUAUUCUAUAUCUAAAGUGGGCAUAUAAGGGGAGAGGAUAAGAGUGGCUUCUAGAUGGCUUCGCUCUCCUUCUAUGUCAUCACUUGGCAUGCCAUCCUUGAGUCUUUCUAAUUGUCCUUCAAAGGGAUUGGAUUUGAAAAGCUUCAUAAGAAAUGUAUUUUGAAGAUUCAAACUAUAAGCACUAAAAGAUCUCUUAUGAAGCGGGAUGUUUAAACUCCUCCCAAAAUCUUUUUGAUGGUGAAUUUGGAGUACUAGUGGGUCGGGAUGGAUAGCCGAUGCAUGGGAUUGGAAUAUUUGCAAAGUGGUUGUGAAAAGUCUCUCUUCUAGUUUGGGGGAUGAUUCCUUCUCUACCUAUAGGAUUUUAUCAUGAAGGCUAGUGCAAGGAGUGUGUCCACUAAUAAGGACAAACCUCUCCUCACUAUUGAAUAAAGAAAGCAAGAUCCCUCCAAAUGCGAUAUUAUCAAGACCCAUAUAAAGAUGUUGAAGAAAGAUAGGGUCUUAUAGGUCGAAGCCUAAAUUUAUAGUAAGAUUAAAAGAUCCCCUAACGGUAGCUAAAAGUUCAUUACCUACUUGAAUAGAAGAUAGGACCUUGGUUACAUUGCCUUCUUCAUAAGAAGAUAUGACUCUAGUUGUAGAAAAGGGCUCGCUUUGACCUAUUGCAACCAAACAUGGACGUAGCUUAUAACUAGAUGUGAGAAUGAUGGGUUCUAGUGGCUCUAAGCUUGCUCUCAUGGGUGUAGGAAAUUGAUAGGCGUGGAAUUUGGUUUAUCCAUAAGGAUAGAAAAGAAAAGAAAAAAAUAUGAGAGAAAAGAAAAAGGUAGAUUAAGACUAGGUUAUCUAAGCAGACCACCUUUCUCCCCGGAAUGGAGCUAGAAAUGCUUGUUGAUAUUAGUUAUGCACAGGAAAGAAUCUAAAGAAAUAAUCCACAGGUGCAUGGAUAUCGGUGAGCACUUCACCCGGGAGAUAAGUCCAGAGUAUCAUAUUUAUAAUUUUACCAUUGGGAGAAAGCGUGCACAAGACUACCUUGGUGUUAACUACUACCCACGGGCUGCAAGACAAGAUAGUGAGAUAUGAGCGAUAUAGAGAGAACUCAUUCGUCAGUCUUCUUCUAACCUAUGGUAAGCUAUGUAGAUAUUGUUCUAAGGGGAGUAACUAGAGAAAACAUAUACCUCAGAGAGUGCUUAACCCUAGUACCAUAUAUCCUACCUUACCUCUUGAAGGGACGUGGAUUACUGAGACCCAAGAGCAUUCUCACUUCCCCCCCCCAAAAGGCUACCACAAAUCUAGCUAGAUAGGGAGUAUCUAUAAGAGUUCCUAUCCCAAGCACCACGCUUACACUACGAAUGAUUACUCUAUUCCCAAGCGCAAGCGAAAAAAGUAAACUCAUAAACCAAAGAACAAUAGACUUACUAGUAUUAGAAGUUGAAUUGCCGAAUGAUUCUAGAACCAAGCCUCGGGUUAGGAGACUUGAUCCCGAAGAUACAAAGAAGAAGGCACUAAUAGGUCGGGCUUCCUCAAUUCCAAUCUUCACCCUAUACUCUCACAACCCC
RNAcentral lists this long non-coding RNA (1753 nucleotides) under Sorghum bicolor (sorghum). RNAcentral describes it as "long non-coding RNA (SBIC_LNC010183)". Lineage: Eukaryota; Viridiplantae; Streptophyta; Magnoliopsida; Poales; Poaceae. The record is from RNAcentral.